GUGGGGAAUAUUGGACAAUGGGCGAAAGCCUGAUCCAGCCAUGCCGCGUGUGUGAAGAAGGUCUUCGGAUUGUAAAGCACUUUAAGUUGGGAGGAAGGGCUGUCGGUUAAUACCCUGCAGUUUUGACGUUACCAACAGAAUAAGCACCGGCUAACUUCGUGCCAGCAGCCGCGGUAAUACGAAGGGUGCAAGCGUUAAUCGGAAUUACUGGGCGUAAAGCGCGCGUAGGUGGUUCAGCAAGUUGGAUGUGAAAGGCUCGGGCUCAACCUGGGAAAUGCAUCCAAAACUACUGAGCUAGAGUACGGUAGAGGGUGGUGGAAUUUCCUGUGUAGCGGUGAAAUGCGUAGAUAUAGGAAGGAACACCAGUGGCGAAGGCGACCACCUGGACUGAUACUGACACUGAGGUGCGAAAGCGUGGGGAGCAAACAGGAUUAGAAACCCGGGUAGUCC
This 450-nucleotide ribosomal RNA is filed under the name uncultured bacterium. Its description in RNAcentral is "partial 16S ribosomal RNA". It matches the Rfam family "Bacterial small subunit ribosomal RNA", at positions 354 to 796 of the family's 1533-position model. The record is from RNAcentral.